RNAcentral lists this non-coding RNA (237 nucleotides) under Lentilactobacillus buchneri. Its description in RNAcentral is "Lactobacillus buchneri T-box sequence". It matches the Rfam family "T-box leader". Rfam says of the family: Uncharged tRNA acts as the effector for transcription antitermination of genes in the T-box leader family. T-boxes are found upstream of many aminoacyl-tRNA synthetase genes and some amino acid biosynthetic genes usually in Gram-positive bacteria. Lineage: Bacteria; Bacillati; Bacillota; Bacilli; Lactobacillales; Lactobacillaceae. The record is from RNAcentral.
UUAAAGACGUUGAUCAGAACCGAUUAAUGAAUCAAAUCACAGAGAGCUUAUCAAGGUGGGAGUUAAGCAUUUGAGCAUUAAUCGUCACAUCUGGGAGUCAUUUUUCUGAAGCUGAGUAGGAAAAAGCGGUAAGCACGUUAUUGCUGAAGUUUAGUAUGUUGCAUAUUAAACCCAUUGAGGCCUUUCAUGUGAGUGAGAGGUGAAUCAGAGGUGGAACCGCGAAUAAUCGUCCUCUUA